GUGCCAGCAGCCGCGGUAAUACGUAGGUGGCAAGCGUUAUCCGGAAUUAUUGGGCGUAAAGCGCGCGUAGGCGGUUUCUUAAGUCUGAUGUGAAAGCCCACGGCUCAACCGUGGAGGGUCAUUGGAAACUGGGAAACUUGAGUACAGAAGAGGAAAGUGGAAUUCCAUGUGUAGCGGUGAAAUGCGCAGAGAUAUGGAGGAACACCAGUGGCGAAGGCGACUUUCUGGUCUGUAACUGACGCUGAUGUGCGAAAGCGUGGGGAUCAAACAGGAUUAGAUA
Molecule: ribosomal RNA, 280 nt
Filed under: uncultured bacterium
Lineage: Bacteria
Description: partial 16S ribosomal RNA
Rfam family: Bacterial small subunit ribosomal RNA
Source: RNAcentral